Molecule: non-coding RNA, 93 nt
Organism: Ameiurus melas (black bullhead)
Lineage: Eukaryota; Metazoa; Chordata; Actinopteri; Siluriformes; Ictaluridae
Source: the annotation of a GenBank genome assembly
GCUCCAGUGGUGCAAUCGGUUAGCACGCAGUACAUAUAUGACAGUACAUGUGAAGCAAUGCUGAGGUUGUGAGUUCAAGCCUCAUCUGGCGCA